UACAGAGGGUGCGAGCGUUGUCCGGAAUUACUGGGCGUAAAGGGCGCGUAGGCGGUUCGAUAAGUAGGAGGUGAAAUCUCACGGCUCAACCGGGAGGCUGCCUUCUAGACUGUCGGACUUGAGCACGGUAGAGGCAGAUGGAAUUCCCGGUGUAGCGGUGGAAUGCGUAGAGAUCGGGAAGAACACCAGUGGCGAAGGCGGUCUGCUGGGCCGUUGCUGACGCUGAGGCGCGACAGCGUGGGGAGCAAACAGG
This 253-nucleotide ribosomal RNA is filed under the name uncultured bacterium. RNAcentral describes it as "partial 16S ribosomal RNA". It matches the Rfam family "Bacterial small subunit ribosomal RNA", at positions 524 to 776 of the family's 1533-position model. The record is from RNAcentral.